AACUGAAGAGUUUGAUCCUGGCUCAGAUUGAACGCUGGUGGCAUGCUUAACACAUGCAAGUCGAACGGUAACAGGUCUUAGGAUGCUGACGAGUGGCGGACGGGUGAGUAACGCGUAGGAAUCUGCCAUUUGAGGGGAUACCAGUUGGAACGACUGUUAAUACCGCAUAAUAUCUGUGGA
RNAcentral lists this ribosomal RNA (180 nucleotides) under Francisella tularensis subsp. tularensis 79201237. RNAcentral describes it as "partial 16S ribosomal RNA". It matches the Rfam family "Bacterial small subunit ribosomal RNA", at positions 1 to 186 of the family's 1533-position model. The record is from RNAcentral. Lineage: Bacteria; Pseudomonadati; Pseudomonadota; Gammaproteobacteria; Thiotrichales; Francisellaceae.